This 4315-nucleotide long non-coding RNA is filed under the name Podarcis lilfordi (Lilford's wall lizard). The stretch from base 1966 to 2040 matches the Rfam family "mir-193 microRNA precursor family". The record is from RNAcentral. Lineage: Eukaryota; Metazoa; Chordata; Lepidosauria; Squamata; Lacertidae.
GCUCUCUUCAUCAGGUCUUUGCUGUUUUCACCCCAGGUUAGAAUGCAAUAAUUUAUAGGCUCUGGGCAUGCAUUCACACAACCUUUGUGCACGCCAUAAACAAAGGGGGGGAGGAAGUGUCAUAUUGCACUCCGGUUCCGGUGGUCGUCUGUGCUUUAAAAACAUGGUGCGUGAAUCAAUCAAUCGCACGAUAUAGCUCGACUCUGCUGCUGCUCAGAGGGCGGGGCACGCGAUUCCAAGGAGAACCCUAGAUCGCCGCCGCUAUAACCACUAGGAGGCAACCUCUCCCCUUUCUUGCGACCGAAGCGCGGGUGGGGAGGGUGUGUGGAGAGAGAAUCACCCUGCUCUUGAAUGCUCAGAUGGCAGCAUUCAAAGGGGGGCGGGCGAGAGGCGAGAGCGAGCGAGCGAGCGGGGAAUACUGGAAACACGAAGGUGGUGUCAAGAUUCCGCCCGAGGGAGCGCGGCAUUCCGACGCGACGGUCCUGCCGGAUUCCUGGCGAGGACCCAGCCGUGCGUCUCGCGGAGCGCAGGGCGUGAGCGCAAAGAGGCGCUCCCUUCUUUUGGAUGGCGGGCGGGCGGGCGGCUCCCCUUUGCAAAUGUGCCCGGCGGAAUUGCACCAUCGGAGCGGGCUCCCUGCAGGGGGUGGGGACCCGAGGGCGCUUCCUUAAACAGGCACCAGAAGGAGCGGGCGGAGGCAGGCCAGGCACGCCGCGAUCCUCCUUCCUCCUGGGCGGCUGCAGUCGCUGCUGCUGCUGCUGGAUUUGCUGCUGUCGCUGCUGCCGUCGCCCAGCCCUGCCCAGCCCAGCUGCAGCUCGGGCUUCUCUGCAUGUGUCAUCGAACACGUGGGGCUCUUUUUGCGCCGCGGAAACUUUCGAGGGAUACUUGCUUCCAACUUGGACUCGCGCACGGCGACAUCGGAAUGGGGAGGCGCGGGAGAGAGAGAGAGAGAGCUCUUAGAUCUACUGCACCGAUCCAGACGCCUCUUUCCUGGACGUGAUCGCCUCGCUGCCUUCCCUUUCUGCUGGCGCUUGGAAUUGCGCUCCCGCGUCGUGAAACCACGUCUGGACACGCCAACCCGCUUCUUCCUCCCUUGCCCUCUUCUUCACGUGUGGGAAAUGUGGCAUGCGUGUCUUUGGAAGGAAUGGGCUCUGGGUGUUGGGGUUUUGCUGCUGUUUUUUUUUUAGCCUAAGUGGCGAACCUCGCCCUCCCUGCACCUCCCUCCCUUAGUUCCUUCCUGGGUCCGCUUCAUAGUUUCGAGAAGAUCUGGAAGGCCAUGCUAUUGACGGCCAGGAGACCCACUUGGUUUGCUUCCAGCACCCCCGGACCAAAGGUAAGCGGCGAGGGCUGGGGUGGAGGGACAAGAGAGCAACUCCGCCCGCGUGUUUUGCGUGCGCGUGUCAACUUUUCAGCUGCGUGCGCUUCGAGACUAGGCGGUCGCUGUCACCGUUUCCUCGCAGCAGACGGCGAUUGGGGAGACCGGGUCCCUUGCGAAGGGUUGAGCAAUCAAGCUUGCGCACGUUCCGACGACCGGGACGUGAGGAGCCGCGAAUGCCCAGGGCGUGCUCGGCGAACCCGCCGCGGACGCGGGUCCUCCUUUCAGAAUGAAAAGGACACCAACACACGCCCCUCUCGGACUCUGUCGCAAGAGUGCUCUGCUUUGGAGAGCAGCCCGUGCCAAGUCAAUUUCGCCCCGAACGCGUUUCCUAAACAGGGAGGUAGCUAGUUAAAAAUUAACACGCGUUUGAAACAAACCGAAACGAAAACAGAGUUGACCCCCAUAACAUCAGUGAGUUGCGCGCGGCUGGAGUUUGACUCAAGUUCUCCAGAAAUAUCUGGAGUUGGGUCUAUUUGUUUUUCUGGCUUGACUAUCUUUCAAUCAUUAAAAAAAAAAAAAGAACAAAAAUGUCCCAAGCCCUCCUGAAGGUGCGUCACGUGUGAACGAUCGAGCGGCGGGUGAAAUGGGGAGUUUGGGGCUGGGUCUUUGCGGGCGAGAUGAGAAGUUUCUGCCUUCAACUGGCCUACAAAGUCCCAUUUCUCGGCUCCCAAGUCUGCGCUCUUGUCUGCUGCCAACCUGAGGUCCUCUACCCUCAGCGGCUGAAACCUUUAAACGUGGGGAGGUUCCUAAUAUUACAGGCCGGGGUGAGGGGGGGGGGAGAGAUCUACUGCCUCUUUGCAGAUGCAGAUCCCCAAACGAGAUCUCCCCUUGCUUCCCCUCCAAAGCUGGCAAUGGCUUGGCGGGUGUUUCUUCUCCAACCACGCUAACACAGUUUGGGGCAGGGCAUAUUGAUCAAGGACACGAUCCAGUCACCGUGGAGCACUUUUAAGAGCACUUUGGUUUGAGUGAGAAAACUAAGCUGUCUGAUGCCCAGUGGGUUUCCACUGCGCUUCGUUUUGACUCUAGUUUUAGCAAAUGGCCGCAGUUGUAGUGACCGGUUCCAAACCGACACUGAAAUCAGAGAAAGUAUAAGAACAGAUGCCAACAUUUCAGAGGUUACACUUAAAAGGUUUUAAAAAAUAUAUUAAAUUAAACUUGGUCAGAGACCAGACUUGCUUCUUGCCCUGUAAUUUGCUAUUUAAAAUAUUAAGUACAGUACCAACAGAGUGUCGCUGUCAAUUGAAAGUUCGACGUUGUUUUCCGCUGAAACUGAUUUCGCAGGCCCACGCGGAAAGAUAUUUAUGUCUCCUCAAUCUGCAAGUCAUGCUAAUCAAAUCUGGUUUAAGGCCUUCAUCUCUUUACCUAUGCUUUUUUACUCUCUCUUUUAAAGAAACUCUUCUCCAUAUAUAUAUGUAUAUAUAUAUAUAUGAAAAUAGAGAUUAAUUACUGCACAUGUUGCCUCCAUAUAGUUCUUUUGGCUAAAAGCACAAAUCAGCUGAUGAUCUGCACUUUUACGCCCAGAAAAAUUAGGCCAUCGUAACUUUAUAUACUGCCUGCGACAAUGAAUAUCUUUUUGCUUACAUACAUAUAACGUAAGUAUUUUUAAAACGAAAAACCUAAAAUAGUUAAAUUGCUUAUUUUAAAGAUCGUCUUUUUUUUAAGGUUGUCUUUUAUCAUUUCUAUUAAGAACAUAAAGACGACUUUUUAAAAAUAUGUGGCCUGUAUUCAUAAUGAUGGUGGCUGUUUCAUUUAUGUAUGUUUGUGUAUGUGGUGCAAUUUGGAAAAUCUUUUCGCUGAAAUGAAGUUACAGGCAACACUUCAUUGCUAGGGAGCAAAGGGAAAAGCUGAGUCCAUGUGUGUUACGCAGAAGUAAGCCUCUCUGAGUUCAGUAGGGAAUAAGUAAUUGUGCGUACGACAGUAGCAUUUAAAAGUCUCUCUGAAUUUUAACUCUGAAGCAAAAGCUCUAAAUCAUCACAAUUAAUUAUUCUUACCAUAACUAAUGUGGUCAUUAUGGUAUACUUCUCCAAAGUCCCAUGACAUGUAACUUACGUUAUAGCUUGCUCUUUUCUACAUAAACAGGUAGAUAGAUUGAUAAAUAAAUAAAUUUCCUCAGCCUGGGAGUAUUCCCUCACCCCACCCUCCUCUUCAGUUAAAUAUUUCAAAUUCCUGCAGAUUUAUUCUAAAACAAUCUUGAUGAUUUUUCAUUUUCUCCUAUAUCUUUAUGAGCAAUGGGAAAAAAUCCUGGCCCAAUUCCCCCAGAUCUGAACUCGCAUGUUCAGAUUACGCAACCGAUGAAAUUUGUAGCCAGCCUUUGCUAAUUAGAUUUAAUCUGGUGCGUUAUGAAUUCACCCACACCCCAAUUCAUGAAUAAAACAAAAUUAAUGUUUCCCCAGCUUUUUCAAAACUAGUCCUCCUGUUAGGCCUUUGCUUACCGUGUGUGUGCAGCUGUUAAUCUAUUGUAGUCCCACAUAUCUUUGGGUAAAUAUAUAUUUUUUCAACUCCUACGCAGUUCAAGAGAGCCAUUUAUUGUUGUUAUUAUUAUUAUUUGCUAGGAAACGGUUUAUAAAUGUAAAUAAUAAAUAAUAUGAACAAGUUAGUUUGCAAAGGCUUUUAAAAACCCGUUGGGAACUUGGGAUCUGAUAUUAAGAGUGUCCCAUCCUCUGCUCCCCACCAUAAGGCAGAGUUCGAGCCAAAGAGCCAUAAACCUACAGAACGUCCUCUUUAAUUAAGAGACCACCAAUGUGACCUUAAGUGGACACGUUUGGAAGACUAGGCCAUUGAAAUCACAGCAAUUUAUUUCCAAGUGACACUUCGCCUUUAGGAUCAAGGUGCCAGUUUUUGAUCCACAGGCUGGAAUUUAACGUUCUUGUAACGAAAUUAUGCCAAACGAUUCAAAAGCUCUAGGUUCAGGUAGGCAGCCAUUGUUGGUCUGACACAGUC